Felis catus (domestic cat) is the source of this 1782-nucleotide long non-coding RNA. RefSeq lists it as uncharacterized. The transcript is spliced from 2 exons. NCBI's taxonomy places the organism in Eukaryota, Metazoa, Chordata, Mammalia, Carnivora, Felidae. The record is from RefSeq and is a predicted model, not a curated record.
UGUUUUGUGGUGUUGACCUGUUUUUGUUGAUUUUGAGGGGAGUUCUCUGUGCUUCUUAGACUUGAAUGCCUGUUUCCUUCCCAAGAUUAGUGAAGUUCUCAGCUAUAAUUUGUUCUCAGCUAUAAUUAUAAUUUGUAUAAUAACAAAAGGUUAAGUAAACCUUUUGUCCUUUUUUCCCUCUAUUCUUCUUUUGGGACUCCUAUGAUAUUGUUGGGAAAAUAAGUAAAGUUCUGCACCAUAAGAUGGCCGACGGGACUAACAUAAGCUCUAGUUUCUAGCUUAGAGACUCCUCUUCCAGGUUCUUCCUGCUCUGUUUGCCACGCAAAGCACCAUGAAUGCAGAAGAGACAACGCUAUAAAUUACCCCUCCCACUUGUGUUCAGGGCUCAGAUCUCUGGAGAAGGAUCUCCUCUGAGUCUGCUGGUGUAAAAUAAAACACCCAUCCACCAACAUCUCCAAGUGCCAUGUGGUUUUUCUGCCAGCGAUCCAGCCUGGUUCCAUGACAUAUUUGGUUCUCUGAUUGGGAAACCCAAUUGCGCUGGCCCAUUGUUGCCACCAGUUUGGGAGAAUGGCGAGGCGGUGAAGGAAUAAAGAAUUGCAAUGGAGAAGGUGCUCCCUGCAGGAUUUUUGGCAGUCUCCCACUCGGUCUCCUCAGACCAGCCCCGCUCCACCAUUCCCACUGGACUCAAGGAGACUUGGAAGUGAGGACCUGGACCUGAUGUCAGAUACUGGCCCGGAGAAUCCUCUCUCACCAGGGCCAGCAGCCAGACUGUGCCUCGGACAUCAGGAGAAAACUCCAAAAGCUAGAGGGCUUAGCUAGGAUGAAUAUCACUCAGUUGAUAGAGGUCACCAAUAAAGUUUUCAUGAACAGGUAGGUCACAGCUGAGAGGGAAGCUGAAAAAAGAGGGUCACCCUUCUCACAGCAGCACUGAAAGAAAAGGACAAUGCAAAGAUGGAGAAGCUUCAACCACCAAAGUGGGGAAAGCCCAGAGCCCCCUUAGCAAAAGACUAAUGUGCCUACUGCAAGGAAAAGGAACAUUGGAAGAAUGAGUGUCCGAAUUGGAAGGGACCCCCAAAACCCAGCCAAUAUCGGGAGGAACCUUGAGAAGGAGAACUUACUGGUCUGACCAAGGUAGAAUCAGACUGAAGGGGAUGUUGACUCUCUCUCUCUCUGUUCUUCUGCCUAAUAGAUGUGAGGGCUUCUCCCUCAUUCAUUUCUGGGGUUAACAGCUAUAAUUGGAGCCAACUAUGGUUAGUCUACCUUGGGAUGGGGACUUUAAGGAAUAUUCCCAAGAAGCUGCUGAAACUCCAUUUGUUUUGGGGAAAUUCCCGGUCUUCCCUGGCUUAAUGUGGACUCCAUAUUUCCACUUUGGUAGAAAAACAUGGCAUCUGCUCUUCUGUCUGAGCUAAGGUUUUGCAUUGGGUUUUCCUUCUCUGCCUUCUGCUGGCACCUUGCCUCUUCUGCCUUCUUCUCCCCUUCCUGUUUCUGCACCAAUUUGGGUGAGGCCUGUAUAACUGGUUCCUAUACCAUUCUUAGUGCCUCAGGCACCAUUGGCUCCUCCUCCCACCCUGGAGGUCAAGGAGCAAAGUGUACCCCCUUGGACCACCCACUUUAGGUACCUCCACUCGAGUCCCAAGUGAAAAUUAACAAUGGGGGACAAUUGAUUGAGUUUCAAGUGGACGCAGGUGAAACAUAUUCGGUGUUUAAACUAAUUUAAGUUUGUUGGAUCUGUCUUUAAAGUUAUCAGCAUUAAAUAUGAAACUUUCAUUCUACCAAGGUUGA